GAUGAACGCUGGCGGCGUGCCUAAUACAUGCAAGUCGAGCGAACAGACGAGGAGCUUGCUCCUCUGACGUUAGCGGCGGACGGGUGAGUAACACGUGGAUAACCUACCUAUAAGACUGGGAUAACUUCGGGAAACCGGAGCUAAUACCGGAUAACAUGUUGAACCGCAUGGUUCAACAGUGAAAGACGGUUUUGCUGUCACUUAUAGAUGGAUCCGCGUCGCAUUAGCUAGUUGGUAAGGUAACGGCUUACCAAGGCAACGAUGCGUAGCCGACCUGAGAGGGUGAUCGGCCACACUGGAACUGAGACACGGUCCAGACUCCUACGGGAGGCAGCAGUAGGGAAUCUUCCGCAAUGGGCGAAAGCCUGACGGAGCAACGCCGCGUGAGUGAAGAAGGUCUUCGGAUCGUAAAACUCUGUUAUUAGGGAAGAACAAAUGUGUAAGUAACUAUGCACGUCUUGACGGUACCUAAUCGGAAAGCCACGGCUAACUACGUG
Molecule: ribosomal RNA, 497 nt
Filed under: uncultured bacterium
Lineage: Bacteria
Description: partial 16S ribosomal RNA
Rfam family: Bacterial small subunit ribosomal RNA
Source: RNAcentral